This 6787-nucleotide long non-coding RNA is filed under the name Sus scrofa (pig). RNAcentral describes it as "lncRNA (ENSSSCG00005004520.1)". The record is from RNAcentral. Lineage: Eukaryota; Metazoa; Chordata; Mammalia; Artiodactyla; Suidae.
AGUCUCCAAUUUAUUUGAAUGGCUUUUAAGAAGCAGAAGGCCAGGUUGUAACAUGAGGUGUAGGACAAGCAUGAGCAGUGAGAGGGAUCCACGCUGACAAGCACGUAGCACCCUUUGUCAUGGGACUGGGUGAACGCGCUAGGAAAAGCAUGGGCAGUCUCAGCACAGGCAAAGGAAGUCCCUAGAUGAAGAAGCACAAGCUCCACCUGCUUAAGGAGGCACUUAAGAGGUUUACCGUGGAGAGCAACCCAGAGAAGCUAGAUUAGAAGGAAAACCAGGGCAGCCCAUGUUUAUAAAAGACAGAAGUAGAGCAAAUGGUAUAAAAUAGGGCUUCUGACAGGUAGAUACAAGCACAUUAAUGUGUAGAGGUUUCAUCUGACUUGUUUUUUUGUUGGUGGGGGGACAUUUAUUCCUCCAUAUCCACAGCAUGCAGAAGUUCCCGGGACUUAAAACCCCCACCACAGCAGUGACAACACUGAAUCCUUAACCACUAAGGCCACCAGGGAACUCCAGAGGCUUCAUUUUAAAUACUGUUCUAAAUUGAGGGUAUCGAGAUGCUUUUCAGUAGAAACUUGAAUUAAGGACAUGUGUGCUAUUAAGUUAAUAAAGAAGUUUGUCUGUACACAGUUUAAAACAGGGGAUGAGCGUGGUUAUCUCCAAGGUCUCAAAAAGAUCCAAACUCUGUGAGUCUGAGUGUAACAUCCUCACCCUCAGAGUUUCUUGGGUCUGAAAAACCCGAUUCACUGGGCCUGGGCCAGAGGGUGCAAACUGGAAAUUCAAAGGCUGGAUUUAGCCUGCAAGAUGUGUUUUAUUUGGCAUGCACAGUGUUUUCUCAAUUCAAAAUAGUUGCCAACAUUGAAAAGUCCAGAUUUCCAGCUUCUCUUGGAAAACGGGGUGGAACAUCCGGCAACAGCAGCCCACAUUCCCACACGGCAGCAACCGUGUCAGACGACAGCAUAUGUGUUGUCCGUUUUGCAACUAUCCUUACCUAAUCCUCUUUGCUCAUUGACGUCUCCUGCCCGACACCAGAGUUUGUGGCCUGGUCAGGGUGUCCAGUCUAUGUGGAUCUCAUGAUUUUCUACCUGGUGCAGCUACAAGCAUAGCCUUGGGGCUUUUACCCUAAUUCUGUAGCUGACCCAUCUUAACAGUUGGCCCAUGUAGGUGUAUUCACCUGCAGGCCAGGAGUGUGGGAGCCAAGGGUCCCAUCUGCAGAGUUUUGGUUUAUCUUACAGUAACUGAAAAGUUGCCAGUUCGAUUUCAGUUUUGUAAACUGAAUCCCAGAGGCCUCUUGGGGAUGGCUCAUCAGGCAGAUACUUCCUGAUCAAGGCCAAGGGUAAGUCACUUCUGGGCCAGACUAGAACACCCAAGCAGAGGAAGGAAUCCCAGUCUAGGCUGGGCUGGGCCAGGAAGGCAGGAAAGAAGGCAGCUUUCCUAGCCAUGGCCAUGAGGUGACCAGGGCAGCUAUGUACAGUUAGGUUUUAAAGGUGCCAAGGAGGUGUCACUCACACCUCCUUGAUAUGGCUCUAUUUGCAUUUGCACAGUGCACUGUCUGCUCAACUGUACAUGUGGGCCCCAAGACUGUCAAGGGGAGGGAAGAAACAAAUAGAGAUGGUGAGGCAAGUGCAGCCAAAAGUGAUUCUACCAGUUUGUCCCCAAGACUGCAGGGAUGAGGGGUGGAAGGCAGAGGGUUAGAAGCCAAGACCCUGCUGGCCAGAGACUAAAAGCUGGAGAGAUAGAAAAGGGGCCUGGCCUCAGAGGACCCCACACUGCACAUGCGUAAAUGCCCAUGAGAUGAUAGGAAGAGCCAGCAGUAAUCCCAGGAAGCAGGGCUGGCCAUCAGUACGUGGGGCCCAGGACCCUUACUUAACAGAGAUAACCGUCCUGCGCGCGCGCGCGCGCGCGCACACACACACACACACACACACACACAGACAUCAGCAGAGAUAUCUGCCUAUUACACACACCCACAAAAACAUGCACACAUGCAGUUUUUACCCUGUUGCACACUCACAUGAAAUGUGCCUAUACAAGCAAUCACAUGAUUGUUGGUAAGAGCAAUCAGCUCACCACACAGGUAUGUUAGCAAACAUUUCCAGAGCACCGAAAGUCCUUUUUGUCCAAGCUACCUGCAGGCGUCCAGCACAGCACCAAGUAACGUGGAAGGAGAGAAAAAUAACAACCAGUGAAAUAUAACUGUUACUGAAGCCAGCAGCUGAGCCUUGGCCUGCAGCGCCACCUACUGGUAGGAGGGGUACUUUGUACUUUGCUUGAAGAUUGGGUGAAACCUGGGACACUGCUUCUCAGGCAGCUCCUUCUAAGAAAGUCACCAACAAGAUGCUCUUCUCCUUCCUCUUUGUGUUCUGUCCGAGUGGGGUGAGACCCUGGAAUCCUUGGGGUUUCAGCACAGCAAUGGAGAAUGAAUUUUCAGGGCCUCACACACUGCCCCUGGAGAGCAAUAUCCAACACCAACAGAGACGGCAAAUAGGCUCUUCGUCGCUCAUGCCAGCUCCAACCCACUAGUAGUGGCUGGCUGGAAUGCUGGGUCAAGGAGGAUCCUGAGGCCAAGUCUGGGCUUCACAUGGAAGACUGCCAUGAUGGAACAGCGCCAGCCACCACGGCUGUGGGCAGGACUACUUCUACACGUGCCAGUCCCUAAAUCUGAUUUCUCCAGAUCCACACUUCCACCGUGAUGGGGUAUGUAUGUGUUUAUUGCUCACUACCUCACCGCACAAGAAAACUGCCAUUUCUGACUUUACCAGAGUUUUACCUCUCACUUGAUCGGUAACUUCUGAGCCGGCUACUGUCUUCCUUUGGGACCAUCUUCGUGAAGAGCUUCUUCUUGCUUCCACAGGGAGCAUAUGGAUGACUCGUUAGAUCUGAGUCCUUUUUUUCUUUUUUGUCUUUUGGGCUGCAUCCAUGGCAUGUGGAAGUUCCCAGGCUAGGGGUCAAGUUGGAGCUGUAGGUGCCAGCUUACACCACAGCCACAGCAACGCCAAGAUUCAAGCUGCAUCCGCAACUACACCAAAGCUCGCGGCAAUGCUGGAUCCUUUAACCCACUGAGUGAGGCCAGGGAUGGAACUCGCAUCCUCAUGGAUACUAGUUGGGUUCUUAACAACAGGAACUCCCAGAUCUGAGCCCGUAAGUCCGCAUGGGGCACUUCACUUUAUCCAAAACUAAUAUUUAGCUAAGGCACAUCCAAAAGCACUUAUUACUUCCCAAGAGGCCCUGAGAGGGCAAUGACGAGCUGAGAACAGCAGAGCCAUGCCAAGCAGAUGCUGGACAGCAUGCUAGGCUCAGCCCUCGCCAGGGGUCCCACUCCCUGCCCCUCACCCAGCAGCUUGGGAGAGCACACUCAAAUCAAAUGCAUGCAUCAACAUUCCAAAUUACAACGGGCCACAGGUCACUUGAACACCAUCAAACCUUGAAAUCUUCAAUCCCCAGAUGCCAAGGGUCUGCUGUGUUUAGCAUCAAGGUUCUCAGUUGGUGCCUGUAAUCCCAGCCUGCAGAUGGGCACGGAACCCCCUCGUGCUGCCCCCUCUGCAGCUGAGCCAGCCUCUACCUCCAAAUGUUUAGGUGGAUGGAAGCUGGUUUCCCCACAGGUGGGGGAUGUUUGCCUUAACCCAGGGGGUCAGCAGACUUUUUCCGCAAAGAGCCAGAGAAAUAUUCCCAGCUCCUUGGUCUCUGUUGAAACGGUUCAACUCUGACACUGAAUUCAAAAGCCCAAGACCUAUGUAAACAAAUGGGCAUGGCUAUAUUCCAAUAAAAGCUUCUUUACAAAGAUAGGGGUGGGCUCGAUUUGGCCCAAGGAGCCACAGUUUGCCAAACCCAGCAUCGGCCCAGUAUAAACUGGGGUUGUCUGGAGGUACUUCAGGGCUCUGCAAAGGUUUGGCCUUCGUUUCAGUUCUUAGCUCUUUAGGAAGCUGGUAACAAAAAUGUACCCAUUUAAGUCUAUCAUGGCAUUUUAACGUACAAGAAGUCAACAUGUUGAGAGACUGUGAGCUGAACACCUUUGCUGUGAAGCUCUUUUGGCCACUUCUCUGCACAUGGAUGGGCCAUAUGGUGGAAGAGUUGAGCAACUGAGUCUCAGCAUCAGACACACGUGAGCUUGAGUCCUCCUGCUGCCACUUAUUAGCUGUGUGACUUUGGGCAACUGACGUUACCUCUCUCAACCAGCAUGGCCACAGGGCACCACCAAACAGAGCAGACACUGGCCACCAUGCUGGCACGGCCUCCUAGAGGCCCUUUGUUCCUGGGUUGUAGGAAGAUGGAGGGGCCAGGGUGGCUGAGGCUGUGGGGGUAGGGGGUCCUCAGAGACUCAAGCCAGCGCUACUUACAACCAUUAUGGAGGCAUUUCAAUAUUUUAAUCACUCAUUUGGCUGGACUGAUGCACACCAGUUGAAUAGCAUUAGAAUGCUGGAUCCAUCUUGGAUUUAAACUUCUUGCUGGUGUUGACUUCUUCUGCUGCUUCCCCAUCAUUCUGAUUGGGCUCUCAGGAAGGGGAUGGGGCUGUUUUGCAGUGACCUUGGCAGUCUCAGUGCAUAGUAACAGGGCUUCUGUUUUCCUAAGUGGCAGUUUCCAUUGGGUCUGGGACUUGGUUGGCAAGCAUUUCCUGGGACAUGUUGUGCAGGAGUCAUUGCGGUGCGAGGCUUUGGGUUCAGCAUGUCAGGAGCGGUGGCUCCUCUGCCCCAGUGCUGCAGUCUGCAGCUGGGCCUGGCACUUUGGUGCACCUCUGGUUUUUUCAUUUGCCUGCUGAUACAAUAAACAAUGUCCUUCUCCCCAGGACGCUUCCUCACCACUUGAAACAAUCAGAAGGUGUGUCUGGCAGCUGCCUGCACCUGCCCCCAGGACUUCUGGCCUUUGAUUCCAGCCACUGAAAGCUUCCCCCCCCCACCCCCACCCCCUAGGGCUGAAAUGUUCAUUUAUGGUUUCAAUAAUAGUUUGGACACUGGCGUCUCUCAUGGCCCAGGGCUGUCCAAAUCUAUUAACAGUGCUCCAGUGAAAUACACAGAUUUGCUACACCUUAUUUUGCUGCUUCCCACAUCAUACUCUCCUGCUUCCUGAGACAGCCGGCAGAAUCAACGAUGUUUCUUGAGAGGCCCCUGGGGCAGGACCUCUUGGUAUCUGAAUCUCUGGGAUUCAUCUUAAUUAGGUGACAUCCGGUGCUGCCCUCACAGUGCAUGUGUCCACCCCAGGGGUUGAGUUUCCUCUCUCACUUCCUUUUCAUUUCCUCGAAGCUCUUCUUAAGUCUUGCAGCAUCUCUGGCCAAGCCUAGAGCUUUGGCAGAGGGAAGAUCUCCCAGCCAGGCCCUCUGCCUGAGGUCUCCUCUGUUGGCCAGAAGGGUCGUGACUGUUGAUGGCAAUGGCCUUGUGCAAAGGCAUCCUUGUCACUUGCACUUCCCCUGAUAAGGUGUCCACAGCCGCGGCCUUUGUCCAGCCACCCGGCACAGCGUUGCCCACCACAACAGCCAACCUCUCGGUGGCUCCAGCACUGACAGAGGAAGCCCAGCCAGGGACUCUUCUCACCCAAACUGUUGCUCAUUUCGCUUUGUUCUCCCUCCUGGACUAUCUUCCUGACACGACCAUCUGCCCUACACUGCCCAGAACCUGUGCCCCUUCAGACCCUGGGCCGAGUCCUCAAAAGAACACAGGUCAGGCCCCAGGUAGCCUGUCAGCCCUUCUCCUGUCCCCCGCCAGCGUUCCAGCUCCCCUGCACACACCUCCAGGCUCCUGCCCCCUCCGAUGAUACCUUUGGCUUUCUUCAUCAAGAUGUCACGGCUAGGACCAGAUGUCACAGCUAGGACUCUCCAAGGGCACUGGGCAAUCCGAUCCCAUCACGACAUCUGCUCACCCCUUUGGGUCUUCCUGAGGGAGCCACCUCCCUCUGAGAGAGCCAGGCUGGUCAGCAAAGGAGGAGGCUGUCAAGCAGUGAGAAUCCUUCCCUGCAAGUGGUGACAAAGGGGCUGCAGGGGCUCCUGCAGGGAUGGAGAGUUUGCCAAUGCACCGCAGGGGAAGGCCACCUCUUCCUGGAGUCCCUGGCACAGCAUCUUAGUGACAAACAGCUCACUACCUUCACCCACAAUUCCACACAUUUCAGCUCCUUCCUCUCUAAGCGGUCACUGCCUCAGACCAGACCUCCCCACGCCUCCUUUAUCUCUCCAGGCAGCCCUUCCCUUGGGCUCAGCCUGAACGACUUCCCAUUUCAGCCACUGAGCUUUCUUCCCCUGCAUUUGAGCUCACAACAGUAAACCCCAAGUCUCUACCCCCUCCCCCGCUAGCAGAGCUGCUUGGCAGUCCAGCAGGGUGCAGUCACCGAGGGAGUGAGGGUUGAGGUGAGGGGGUUGGCGGGCAGGAACAACUGAGCUUUGGCUUAAAAGCAAAAGCAGAGGAAGCACUAGCAGGCCCACUAAAGCUCCUUCCCAGGGAGGGCCUGCAGUGCCCCCUGGUGGCCAGAGGAGAGUUUGCAUGCAGGUUAAGUUCUUCCAUUCCCCCCGCCUUCCCCCCCCCCCCCCCCCCCCCCCCCCCCCCCCCGCCCCCCCCGGACCCCUGAGGACUCAGAUGAGGGGAUGGCAGGAAGCAGAUAGAUCAUCUUGCCCAGUGGUUUCCAAACGUGUAAAAUUGUAGGGAAGGUUGCUGUGGAUGACCGUGCGUCUUGCCCAUUUGACAAAGGCCUCUGGGCUGAGGCGUCAGUAGGGGCUGAAAUCUCGCCUAUGUCCUGCUAACCAAGCUGGGUACCCCAGCAUGGUCUGGGUCACCCAGAGGAAGGGGCGUCUUUUCAUGAUCAUUCUGGA